GACGACGCUGGCGGCGUGCCUAACACAUGCAAGUCGAGCGGAGUCGAUCGACGGAAGCCUUCGGGCGGAAGAUGGUUGACUUAGCGGCGGAUGGGUGAGUAACGCGUGGGCAACCUGCCUCGAAGACCGGGAUAACAGCCCGAAAGGGCUGCUAAUACCGGAUGUGGUCAAGGAUCCGCAUGGAUUUUGAUUAAAGGGGAAACCCGUUUCGAGAUGGGCCCGCGUCCUAUCAGCUAGUUGGUGAGGUAAAAGCUCACCAAGGCGACGACGGGUAGCCGGCCUGAGAGGGUGACCGGCCACACUGGAACUGAGACACGGUCCAGACUCCUACGGGGGGCAGCAGUGGGGAAUCUUCCACAAUGAGCGAAAGCCUGAUGGAGCGACGCCGCGUGAGCGAAGAAGGCCUUCGGGUUGUAAAGCUCUGUCUGGAGGGACGAAGGAAGUGACGGUACCUCCGGAGGAAGCCACGGCUAACUACGUG
RNAcentral lists this ribosomal RNA (481 nucleotides) under uncultured bacterium. RNAcentral describes it as "bacterial SSU rRNA". It matches the Rfam family "Bacterial small subunit ribosomal RNA", at positions 33 to 507 of the family's 1533-position model. The record is from RNAcentral.